AUUGAACGCUGGCGGCAGGCCUAACACAUGCAAGUCGAGCGGAUGAAGGGAGCUUGCUCCUGGAUUCAGCGGCGGACGGGUGAGUAAUGCCUAGGAAUCUGCCUGGUAGUGGGGGAUAACGUCCGGAAACGGGCACUAAUACCGCAUACGUCCUGAGGGAGAAAGUGGGGGAUCUUCGGACCUCACGCUAUCAGAUGAGCCUAGGUCGGAUUAGCUAGUUGGUGGGGUAAAGGCCUACCAAGGCGACGAUCCGUAACUGGUCUGAGAGGAUGAUCAGUCACCUUGGAACUGAGACACGGCCCAGACUCCUACGGGAGGCAGCAGUGGGGAAUAUUGGACGAUGGGCGAAAGCCUGAUCCAGCCAUGCCGCGUGUGUGAAGAAGGUCUUCGGAUUGUAAAGCAAUUUAAGUUGGGAGGAAGGGCAGUAAGUUAAUACCUUGCUGUUUUGACGUUACCAACAGAAUAAGCACCGGCUAACUUCGUG
This 484-nucleotide ribosomal RNA is filed under the name uncultured bacterium. Its description in RNAcentral is "partial 16S ribosomal RNA". It matches the Rfam family "Bacterial small subunit ribosomal RNA", at positions 30 to 507 of the family's 1533-position model. The record is from RNAcentral.